This 181-nucleotide ribosomal RNA is filed under the name uncultured bacterium. Its description in RNAcentral is "partial 16S ribosomal RNA". It matches the Rfam family "Bacterial small subunit ribosomal RNA", at positions 245 to 425 of the family's 1533-position model. The record is from RNAcentral.
CUUGUUGGUGGGGUAAUGGCCUACCAAGGCUACGACGGGUAGCUGGUCUGAGAGGAUGGCCAGCCACAUUGGGACUGAGAUACGGCCCAGACUCCUACGGGAGGCAGCAGUGGGGAAUAUUGCGCAAUGGGCGAAAGCCUGACGCAGCGACGCCGCGUGGGGGAUGAAGCAUUUCGGUGUG